CGCAGCCGCGGUAAUUCCAGCUCCAAUAGCGUAUAUUAAAGUUGUUGCAGUUAAAAAGCUCGUAGUUGAAUUUCGGGAUCAAUGCGUCGGUCGUGCCUCCGGUAUGUACUGGUGUUAUUGAUUUCUCCCUUCUGAUGAGCCAUGAUGUCAUUAAUUUGAUGUUGUGGGGAGUCAGGACUGUUACUUUGAAAAAUUAGAGUGUUUAAAGCAGGCUCACGCUUGAAUACAUUAGCAUGGAAUAAUGAAAUAGGACGUUCGAUCCUAUUUUGUUGGUUUCUAGGAUCAACGUAAUGAUUAAUAGGGAUAGUUGGGGGCAUUAGUAUUCAAUUGUCAGAGGUGAAAUUCUUGGAUUUAUUGAAGACUAACUACUGCGAAAGCAUUUGCCAAGGAUGUUUUCAUUAAUCAAGAACGAAAGUUAGGGGAUCGAAGACGAUCAGAUAUCGUCGUAGUCUUAACCAUAAACUAUGCCGACUAGGGAUCGGAUGAUGUUAAUUUUUAAUGACU
RNAcentral lists this ribosomal RNA (504 nucleotides) under uncultured Glomus. Its description in RNAcentral is "SSU rRNA". It matches the Rfam family "Eukaryotic small subunit ribosomal RNA", at positions 569 to 1076 of the family's 1831-position model. Lineage: Eukaryota; Fungi; Glomeromycota; Glomeromycetes; Glomerales; Glomeraceae. The record is from RNAcentral.